UAUUCUUUUGGGGGAAGCUUUCCACCUGACAAUCUGUCCCCCGCCUGCCUCUUUAUAGCCAGUAUCUCUCUGCAGACCCCUCCAAGGCUGGGCACUAAAUUAAGUCUAUUAGCCUUGGUUUUAUCUGUGCCAAGCUGCAGGGGCCACCAAGUGCUCUGUGCAAAGGGACAAGGGAUGAAUGCAGUUUCUCCCAAAGUGUCCACCUGUGUGAACCCUGCAUCUUUGUUGCAAAGGUGGAUUCAUUCCAACUCCACAGCAGGAACUCGUUGGAACCCAUAGGGCAGGAUCCCAGGGACAAACUGAGGUAUCAACCAGCCACAGGCAAAAUAAUGGGGGAAACCAGGAAGAAGAGGUUCCCUGAAGGUGAGGGGCAGGGACAAGCCAGAAUCCAGGGGCUCCUUUCGCUGAAGUUCACAAAUGCCAAGAGCCGUCCUGUGAGCUGUACCUGGAGGGACCAGGCUGGGGUGGAGGAGCGCCCAUGGCAGCACACACCACUGUUCCAGUUGGCAGGAAGCCCUUCCCUGAAGACUGCAAGUUUAACCUUUAGCAUUCAAGUGUCGAGGCUUAAGUGUCGUUAUGAGCAAUUCUUCCUGCUGCAGCGUUCCCAGGCUGUGGAAAGAGGGGUCGGCGCAAAUCUGCCCGCUUUCCUUUUUCUUCCCAGACAGAAUGAGAGGGAGGGAGACGUGCAGCACCAAACACGCAAACACAGGCACCCCUCUAGUCGGCCCUUCGCUAACUCUACACACGCACUCCCGCCUCCUUGGCCGGUCCGGUUUCUGGUCUGCCUUGGAGGUGAGCAGGGCCCCGGGGGUUCUCCACUCCCAGCUCUUGCACCUGGGGCUGAGGGGUACAGAGGCGCCUUCCCUCUCCAGGCCUUGGCUGGAAGGGGCUCCAGGGGACAUCGGGGUCCAGCGUCCUCCUACAGUCGGCUUCAGGGUCCCCACCUCGGUGCCCACACCUCGGUGUCCCGCGGGGCAGGGGGGUGUGGGCGCAUCUGUGGCCCUAAAGAGACUGGGCAGCCCGGCGAGAACGACGGAAAGAGAAGUGAACCACCAGCAGCCCCGGGUGCGGAGUUAGGGUGACCGGGAGGCAGGCAUGGGGCCUGGGCAGCGAGGGCGCUGGGCGUGAGGUACGCCCCCGCCGCGCCCUCUCCUUCCCAGGCCACUGAUGGGGCGGGCCCCCGGUAGUGGUGGCUUUUCUGGGCAUCCGCAGGGGCAUAAUGGGGUGAUCGAAUUGCUCCGCCCGGGCCUGUUUCCCCGCCCAUCCGAGGGGCCGCUGGGCCAUGCCCUGCGUGCACCUGUGAGGGGCGCCUGGGUCCCAGUGCGGCGACUCUGCACCGGCCUAAGCGCCUCAGCCGGUGUCUCCGGGGACAGGAGGGCCCGGGGCUUCCUCCGGGAGUCCAGAGCCCGCAGGAAAAAAAAAAA
This 1424-nucleotide long non-coding RNA is filed under the name Macaca fascicularis (crab-eating macaque). Its description in RNAcentral is "lncRNA (ENSMFAG00000062999.1)". Lineage: Eukaryota; Metazoa; Chordata; Mammalia; Primates; Cercopithecidae. The record is from RNAcentral.